Molecule: ribosomal RNA, 811 nt
Filed under: Diptacus sp. NJAUAcariEriH77
Lineage: Eukaryota; Metazoa; Arthropoda; Arachnida; Trombidiformes; Diptilomiopidae
Description: bacterial SSU rRNA
Rfam family: Eukaryotic small subunit ribosomal RNA
Source: RNAcentral
ACAAGCCUGAGAAACGGCUAGUAGGACUAAGGUCUGCAGCAGGCGCGAAACUUACACAAUGCUAGAUUAAAAUUAGCGAUGUAGUGAAGAAAAAUAACGAUGUACUUCCAUUUAAACAUGGUAGUACAAUUGGAAUGAGACGACUAUAAAUGAGUUAGUCGAGUAACAAAUGGAGGGCAAGUCUGGUGCCAGCAGCCGCGGUAAUUCCAGCUCCAUUAGCAUACAUUAAAGUUGUUGCGGUUAAAAAGCUCGUAGUUGAAUUUUAGGCGGGCUCUAUUGGGGUGCAAUCGUUAAGGUUUUAAUAAUUUAAGUAGCACUUUGGGUGACUUGAUUUUAAAGCUGGUUGUCACCUUCCUAUAGGAACCCGCUGUUUCGUCACUUAAUCGAGUGCGAAGCGGGCUGGAAUAAGUAUGAUAGUUUUAAAGACUAUUAUAUUGUUACAGCAUGUUUACCUUGAGAAAAUUAGAGUGCUCACAGCAGGCAGUUGGGAUGUAAAAGUUCCUUUAUGCUUGAAUAAUGUUGCAUGGAAUAAUAGAAUACGGCCUCGGUUCUAUUCUGUUGGUCUUAUAGAACAACAAACAAGUUGGUUGAAGCGAUAAAACGGUCUAUAUGUGUACGUGGUAAAUGUCUAACUCUCUUAUAUAUUGUAACUUGUUGUCUAGAGGGUAAAAGCUUUAGUACCAUUUAUAAUAUUGGGAUGUUUAGUGUUUUCCAAUUUAAAGCGUCAUAUAUUUAAAGACUAGCUUUCUAAUCAACUGAGGCAAUGGUUAAAAGAAAUAGUCGCGGCGGCAUCAGUACUGCAUCGUGAGAG